GGUGACCUCCUGGGAAGUCCUCGUGUUGCACCCCUC
RNAcentral lists this ribosomal RNA (36 nucleotides) under Chenopodium striatiforme. Lineage: Eukaryota; Viridiplantae; Streptophyta; Magnoliopsida; Caryophyllales; Amaranthaceae. The record is from RNAcentral.